UGAGCUGUGAUGGGGAGAAGACAUUGUGUCUUCGAGUCGUUGAUUUCACACUGCCGAGAAAAGCCUCUAGAUAGAAAAUAGGUGCCCGUACCGCAAACCGACACAGGUAGUCAAGAUGAGAAUUCUAAGGUGAGCGAGCGAACUCUCGUUAAGGAACUCGGCAAAAUGACCCCGUAACUUCGGGAGAAGGGGUGCUCUUUAGGGUUAACGCCCAGAAGAGCCGCAGUGAAUAGGCCCAAGCGACUGUUUAUCAAAAACACAGGUCUCUGCUAAACCGUAAGGUGAUGUAUAGGGGCUGACGCCUGCCCGGUGCUGGAAGGUUAAGAGGAGUGGUUAGCUUCUGCGAAGCUACGAAUCGAAGCCCCAGUAAACGGCGGCCGUAACUAUAACGGUCCUAAGGUAGCGAAAUUCCUUGUCGGGUAAGUUCCGACCCGCACGAAAGGCGUAACGAUUUGGGCACUGUCUCAACGAGAGACUCGGUGAAAUCAUAGUACCUGUGAAGAUGCAGGUUACCCGCGACAGGACGGAAAGACCCCGUGGAGCUUUACUGUAGCCUGAUAUUGAAAUUCGGCACAGCUUGUACAGGAUAGGUAGGAGCCUUUGAAACGUGAGCGCUAGCUUACGUGGAGGCGCUGGUGGGAUACUACCCUAGCUGUGUUGGCUUUCUAACCCGCACCACUUAUCGUGGUGGGAGACAGUGUCAGGCGGGCAGUUUGACUGGGGCGGUCGCCUCCUAAAAGGUAACGGAGGCGCUCAAAGGUUCCCUCAGAAUGGUUGGAAAUCAUUCAUAGAGUGUAAAGGCAUAAGGGAGCUUGACUGCGAGACCUACAAGUCGAGCAGGGUCGAAAGACGGACUUAGUGAUCCGGUGGUUCCGCAUGGAAGGGCCAUCGCUCAACGGAUAAAAGCUACCCCGGGGAUAACAGGCUUAUCUCCCCCAAGAGUUCACAUCGACGGGGAGGUUUGGCACCUCGAU
Molecule: ribosomal RNA, 974 nt
Filed under: Staphylococcus argenteus
Lineage: Bacteria; Bacillati; Bacillota; Bacilli; Caryophanales; Staphylococcaceae
Description: partial 23S ribosomal RNA
Rfam family: Bacterial large subunit ribosomal RNA
Source: RNAcentral